UAGGGAAUUUUCGGCAAUGGACGAAAGUCUGAUCGAGCAACGCCGCUUGAGUGAAGAAGGUUUUCGGAUCGUAAAACUCUGUUGUUAGAGAAGAACAAGGACGUUAGUAACUGAACGUCCUCUGACGGUAUCUAACUAGAAAGCCACGGCUAACUACGUGCCAGCAGCCGCGGCAAUACGUAGGUGGCAAGCGUUGUCCGGAUUUAUUGGGCGAAAAGCGAGCGCAGGCGGUUUCUUAAGUCUGAUGUGUAAGCCCCCGGCUCAACCGGGGAGGGUCAUUGGAAGCUGGGAGACUUGAGUGCAGAAGAGGUGAGUGGAAUUCCAUGUGUAGCGGUGAAAUGCGUAGAUGUAUGGAGGAACACCAGUGGCGAAGGAGGCUCUCUGGUCUGUAACUAACGCUGAGGCUCGAAAGCGUGGGGAGCAAACAGG
This 429-nucleotide ribosomal RNA is filed under the name Gemmatimonadota bacterium. Its description in RNAcentral is "Gemmatimonadetes bacterium partial 16S ribosomal RNA". It matches the Rfam family "Bacterial small subunit ribosomal RNA", at positions 355 to 776 of the family's 1533-position model. Lineage: Bacteria; Pseudomonadati; Gemmatimonadota. The record is from RNAcentral.